This 485-nucleotide unclassified non-coding RNA is filed under the name Hevea brasiliensis (rubber tree). The record is from RNAcentral. Lineage: Eukaryota; Viridiplantae; Streptophyta; Magnoliopsida; Malpighiales; Euphorbiaceae.
GACUAAAUUACAUCAGGGAAUAAUAGAGAAGGCCCUUCUAAGUUGCUAUCAAUGUCUUUAAUUAUAUCGAGACUCUCAACUAUAACUUUGUUAUCGUGUUCCAAUGCUGGCACCUUUUUUGCAGAAUACACUUCUUUGCACCAAAGAGGCUUAUUUUCUAGGUCGAUAGCAACUAAUGCAAUCUUUUCUUUUCUUGUAGUCCCUUGUGUAAUUCCUUGUAAUCCAAGCCCGUUGAGCGAAUGGACUUCUGUAGCUUUAUGUUCAACCUGGUAGUUCCAUCAAAAAGAGGAGGGCGGGUGGAAGUAGAAUUGAGUGAUGGAGGAAGAACCUCUUGAGCGUUCCUGUUCUCGGUUGCCAUAGCCAAACUUGACCAAGACCGACUAUCAAAGUGAAACGGUGGGAGUUUGGGCAAGUGAGAGUGAAAGAUUAUAAACGGUAGCUAAGGUCAUAUCAUUAUCAUAUAUCGCGAGUUGGAACCUGUUCUU